This 386-nucleotide long non-coding RNA is filed under the name Erythranthe guttata (spotted monkey flower). RNAcentral's name for it is "long non-coding RNA (EGUT_LNC000917)". The record is from RNAcentral. Lineage: Eukaryota; Viridiplantae; Streptophyta; Magnoliopsida; Lamiales; Phrymaceae.
GAUUACUUUAUCGUGCAAAUCAUACUGGAUUGAAUCUGUAUUAAUAUUCCAAAAGUGUCCUCGCCAAUAAAUCGAAUUACAGAGGAAAAAAAAAUUAUCUCCCCCAGAAUAAUUCUUGCCCUAGUCGUGGGUUUCCAACAUACUUUUUCCGUCGAAGAACAAGGUAUAAAUUUGAUUUUUUCCCCAAUACUUCUUCCCUCUCCCCAUUAAUGAAGUGCUCUUAUUUUCUGGUUGUUGUAAAGCGUCGUAAUUGAAGAGGUGGGCGCAGUUCAGUCGGUCGUUGAAUAAUUUGGCAAUUUGGGUUUAGGGAUGAGUUGGAGAGAGAAGGAUUGAGAAUAACAGAUGGAGGGGUGUAUUGAAAUAUGGGAAAGAGCAGCACGAGGAAG